UUGCUUCUCUGAUGUUAGUGGCGGACGGGUGAGUAACACGUGGAUAACCUACCUAUAAGACCGGGAUAACUUCGGGAAACCGGAGCUAAUGCCGGAUAAUAUUUUGAACCGCAUGGUUCAAAAGUGAAAGACGGUCUUGCUGUCACUUAUAGAUGGAUCCGCGCUGCAUUAGCUAGUUGGUAAGGUAACGGCUUACCAAGGCAACGAUGCAUAGCCGACCUGAGAGGGUGAUCGGCCACACUGGAACUGAGACACGGUCCAGACUCCUACGGGAGGCAGCAGUAGGGAAUCUUCCGCAAUGGGCGAAAGCCUGACGGAGCAACGCCGCGUGAGUGAUGAAGGUCUUCGGAUCGUAAAACUCUGUUAUUAGGGAAGAACAUAUGUGUAAGUAACUGUGCACAUCUUGACGGUACCUAAUCAGAAAGCCACGGCUAACUACGUGCCAGCAGCCGCGGUAAUACGUAGGUGGCAAGCGUUAUCCGGAAUUAUUGGGCGUAAAGCGCGCGUAGGCGGUUUUUUAAGUCUGAUGUGAAAGCCCACGGCUCAACCGUGGAGGGUCAUUGGAAACUGGAAAACUUGAGUGCAGAAGAGGAAAGUGGAAUUCCAUGUGUAGCGGUGAAAUGCGCAGAGAUAUGGAGGAACACCAGUGGCGAAGGCGACUUCCUGGUCUGUAACUGACGCUGAUGUGCGAAAGCGUGGGGAUCAAACAGGAUUAGAUANCCUGGUAGUCCACGCCGUAAACGAUGAGUGCUAAGUGUUAGGGGGUUUCCGCCCCUUA
RNAcentral lists this ribosomal RNA (778 nucleotides) under uncultured Staphylococcus sp. RNAcentral's name for it is "bacterial SSU rRNA". It matches the Rfam family "Bacterial small subunit ribosomal RNA", at positions 78 to 842 of the family's 1533-position model. Lineage: Bacteria; Bacillati; Bacillota; Bacilli; Caryophanales; Staphylococcaceae. The record is from RNAcentral.